GCCCAAUCACAGAAACAACCCACAAAAUUGGGUUGUUGUUGGAGAAAACUGCUUGAAUUCAAAUCCGAAAUUCGCAAGCAUCCACCAAAUAGAAGAGUGAUAUAAAUGAGGAAAAUUUAAGAGAGUAGCUCUCACAUGUCUUUAACAGCAAAGGUGAGGCUGCUCAGAGGAAGGUCAUGUGACGAAGACGGCGGCCGAAGAAGGAAUUUCUCCACGAAAGCUCCAUGUUCUGAGUCUAUCGCCAUCCCUCUCUGCCACUGCUGUCUCAGACAAUCUCAGCCUCAGCAGCAGCUCCACAUUUUGAUGACAGAAGUGAACAGCUCUCCACUCAUCAAUCAUGCGAUGAUCACUUCAGCCAGUGAGGACAAAUAUUAUUCCUUAAAAAAAAUCUGUGUUGAUAAGGCGGUCACUUCAGCCAGUGAGGACAAACUGGAAAUUCUGGAGGUUGCUUAAGUCCUCACUGUGGUCGUUAGACAUUGAGAAUCGAUAAAGUGGUACUUAAAAGCAGGAAAAACAACUUACCAUAAAAUCUGAAACAUCAAAUGUGUUUAAAAGGUCGUACCCAGUGCACAAGGCUCCCGCUUUACGCAGGGUUUGGGAGAGGUGAAUGUCGGCUAGCCUUACCCCCAUUUAUGGAGAGGCUGCUCUCAAGUCUCGAACCCGAGACCUACCGCUCAUGGGCGAAGGCACUUGCCAUCGCACCAAGUGCGACCUCAAAUGUGUUUGGUAAAAAAAAAAAAAGCUUAUUUAAAAAAUUGUUGUCAAUGACAACAAAAAAGCAUAGAAAAGCAGAAGUAGGAUCUACUAUGCUUUAAAAUUAUCUAAGCAUAGUGAACAGUGGCCAUUUGAUGAAAUUUUCAAAUAGCAAGUAUACCCCUGCCUUUUUUACAAAAUAACAAUCGUUGCCCGUGGAAUAUUAUCUUUGACAACUAUUAUAGGGAAUUAUUAUUAGCAUUCCAAAAGUCUCAUUUGACAUUCCAAACUUUCUAUAAUUAGAAAGAAAAAAAACACUUGUGAGGAGUGUAGAAUGAGAUUUUUGGAAUGCUAAUAACAGUUCCGUUAUUAUAUCACAUUAAAUGCCAUAUCAUUUUUAGUAUUUAACAUAUUCACAUUAAUUUUAUAUAAAAGUUGACAUAACACUCAGAUACUGUUUUCUUUUUUUUUACAAGCACUUUUACAAUAAAAGUUUAUUAAACGCUUAACAACUUUAUUUUACAGCUGUUCUGCUGUUUUUUUUUUUUUUUUUAACAUAACAAUACCAAACUAGCAAAACUUACAAGCACAUAUAUCAGGAAAAGAUUAUCAGAGUCUGCAACUCAAAAUCUUGUAGUCAACAUUCACAACUUCCCGACGUGUUCUUUGAGAGUGUCGUAAAGAGUCUCGACAAGAUUGAGCAGGAACCCGUCCGAGCCAUGCUUUGCCAGCAAGGAAACUGAAACGGGUAGGUUAUCGUACAUCCCUAGUGGUAUAGUCACCUGCAAAUACGUAGAAAUACGUUACAAACUUUCACAAGAUAUUUGCAGUCAUUGAAGAAGAAAAAGAUCGUAGUCAUAUACAAACAUGGAGACUGGAGAGGGGGAGGGAGAAGUAGAGAUAGAUAGAGGGCUUAAAAACCUGGCAGAAUCCGGAAACUACGGCAAUGGAUAGGAAGCUGAAAGCCCUGGCACGAAAAUUGUGCAGUGUUGUAGGAUCUGUUUGCAGCUUUGGUGGAUCCCCUGGAACUGUAGGCAUUGCGAGGACACCGAAAUCCUGAUGAGUAAAUCAAAGAGAUUGUGUUAUGUAUUCAUUAGAGACGGUAUGUAUCAUCCAUUUCUUCUGCUAAAGGUACCUUUUUAAGAGCAAAAGGAAGGAAGAUGCUAACAAAUAACAGUUUGUCAAAGAUGAGAGAGAGAGAGAGAGAGAGAGAGAGUACCCCGAGAAGGUCAGUAAGAGCAGCACGCAAUUCAGUCAUCACGGAGUGACAAACAUCGACAUUUUCAUCUGUUGACCGAACAGCUGCCCAUAUACGUUCUCCUAUCCCGGGACCUAAGUCAGGUCUGACUGUACUAACCCAUUCACCAUGGUUGCUCUUGAAUUCAUACCUAUUCUAUCAACCAAAUGAUAAAUUUGGAAUUCAUUAUGAACGACAAAUUUGAAUUUUGUUGAUCAAGAUGAAGAUGCAGAAAUUAUCACACUCAUAUUCAAGUCGACCAAAUCAGCACCUUUCAAGUAGACGAUCGGCGGUUGAUAGGGCUGCCAAUGACGGUAUAAUGUACUCUUCACUUGGAUUUCCUUUAUCCAAGAAAGAGUUCAAGCUUGGAACUUUGUCCUUGACAACGUCCCCAAGGUUAGCAUGUUUUAUAACAUGACCUGCAUUUGCAGAUAUAACGAGUGAGCUUCUUCUUUCCAUGUUAUGAACUUGUCCCUAUCUCAGCAGGAGACCUAAUUUAAUUAAGUGAAUGAUGAUUUUCAGGUAAUAAUCUGUCUACUGAAUUUAAUGGUCUAUUUGUGUCUUAAAAUGCGAGGGAAUUAUAAAUUGGACUCGAUUCAUGUCAAUCAAAGUACUUACAGCAAGAGAUGAAACAGAUGAAUAUGGUCAAAUCACUUACCCCCAAAUAACUUCUCAACUGAGUCAACAAGUACUUGUUUCACUCGACUGCUUGGAACACUUGAAAGCUGGAAACAGUCUUCUGCGAUGAUUAACUGAGUGGGUACGACAGGACCUGUAUCAGGCAAUUGGAGUAACACUCGUCCAACUCUAUUCAAAAUCGCAGGAUCCCUUGCAAACCAUCCUAUAUCAGAAGUUAGUGUCAAAAGGAUGGUUUCCAAUUGCUUAGAGUGCUAGAUAGAUCAUUCGCAUAGGUAAAGCUUUCGAAGUACUAUAUUUCCAAUUGCAGAAAAACUUAAACACAGAAGUGUCACAAGUAAUAAUCAACAAAAAUGCAGAAUGCCUGGAUGGCAUAUGAAUCAUUAAAGCGGAAGAAGUUAGCUACAUUCUAGCAACAGAAAUAGAGAUUUCCUGUUAUAUAAAAUCGAGGGAAAACUGAAACAUGACUUUUUUUGUCACAACCAGAAAUCAAUUUCCUAAGCCAGUCUGCAAUAUAAAAUGUCAUUGAUUUCUCACCCACUGUAUCGAAACUUUGUGCCAGGGGAGUAACUCCAGAGGUAGAAAUGACACCAUGAGAUGGCCGAAACCCAAAAACUCCACAAUAUGAAGCAGGAACUCUUAUACUUCCUCCAGUGUCGGUUCCUGAAAAAUUGAGGGUCUUGUGCUUCAACAUAAAGAAGCAAGAAAACAACAAAAGCACGCAUGGAAUAACCUACCUAAGGAAAAAUCUGCGAGGCCUACAGCUACGGCAACAGCAGAACCGCUAGAAGAGCCUCCAGGCACCCUAUCUGGUGCGCACGGAUUUCUGGGUGUGCCAUAAUGCUUGUUCUCUCCAUUUAUACUGCCAACAACACAAUGCUAAAUUCAAGAGCAUUUCUGUCGAGUGAUUUUCAAAUGUACAAAAUCAUGAUAUAAAUACUUUUACCAUGAAAAGAGACUUGUAGUGAUCAAUCAUUUGUGAAAAUUUUUGCAAACAAAACAGUAAUGCAAGUUUAAGCAUGUGAAGUAAGACAAGGCCUCUUUGCACUAACCAGUAUGCCAUUUCAUCCAUGACAGUUAUACCAAUACUUGUGGCACCUCCACUCAAUAUUGCUGAAACAGCCGGAGCUGUUGACUCAGCAGCCGGGUGAGUCCUCGCCCAAUCAGGAUUCCCAAACCCAGUCACACGUCCAGCCACAUCAAAUCUGCCUCCAAGUUCAAAUUUCAGUGAACACAAAAAUGUUUUGGCUUUUACACACACACAUGAAAAAAAUUGCACAAUUCAACACCCUGAAGUUCACCAUCAUGGUUCCACAAGCACACAUAAAACCACACAAAGCAUGAAGAUUUAUUAAAACGCUUCUCUGAAAAAGCACUUCUCAUCAUAAGUGCUUUUGCUGGAAGUAUUUUUACUUUAGUAGAAGUAAAUCCACCACAAAGUUUCAUUAAAAAUUCAAGUGCUUCAGAAAAAAAACAUUUGAACAUUUUUUCUGAAAGUGCUUUUAGUCAUUCUCAAAUGAAGAAACGCCCAAUCACAGAAACAACACACAAAAUUGGGUUCUUGGAGACAACUGAUUGAACCCAAAUCCGAAAUCAGCAAAUAAGCACAAAAGCAUAUGAAUUUUAAGUAUAACACUACAAAAUUUAAAGCAUCCACCAAAUAGAAGAGUGAUAUAAUUGAGGAAAAUUUAAGAGAGUAGCUCUCACAUGUCUUUAACAGCAAAGGUGAGGCCGCUCAGAGGAAGGUCAUGUGAUGAAGACGGCGGUCGGAGAAGGAAUUUCUCCACGAAAGCUCCAUGAUCUGAGUCUAUCGCCAUCUCUCUCUGCCACUGCUGUCUCAGACAAUCUCAGCCUCAGCAGCAGCUCCACAUUUGACGACAGAAGUGAAAAGCUCUCCACUCAUCAAUCAUACGAUGAUCGUAUUCAAAUGCAAGGACAAAUAUUAUUCCUUAAAAAAAUAUGUUGUUGAUAAGGUGGUAACUUCAGUCAGUGAGGGCAAAGUGGAAAUUCUGGAGGUAGCUUAAGUCCUCACUAUGGUCCUUAGACUUUGAGAAUUGAUACAAAUGGUCUUUAAAUUUCUCCACCGUAAAUUAUUUUGCUCUAAAAAAUUUGUCAAUAUCAUCGUUGAGUGGUUGGGUUGAUUAGACAAAAUAUCAAAGAAAGACAAUUCAAGGACCGCUUCUAUCGGUUUUCAUUAUCAUGAUCAAAGUGAGGGGUUUUGCCAAAGUCAUGAACUAUUUUGACUAAAACCCUAAAAAAAAAAGGGAAUUGUUAUUGGCUCUCCAAAAAUCUCAUUCUAUACUCCAACUUUCUAUAUUUGGAAAGAAAACUACACUUCUGAUGAGUGUAGAAUAAGAUUCUUGGAGUGUUAAUAACACUUCCCAAAAAAUAAAACAUAUUCUAUGAAAAUAUUGUGAAUUUCUUAGCUUAUGGAUCCAACGCAAGUACACAAUGUAUUAGGGUUUUUAUCACAAAUGAUCCCUGAGAUUGAUCAAACUCAUUAUUUUGAUCCCUCACUUUCAAAAUCAAUCAAUGUCGUCUCUAACCUUCACUACCAAAUAUCAAUUGGGUCAUUCCGUUAAGAUUUUGUUAACUAUUCUGUUAGUUUAUAUGCGGGGCCCACAAUUUCAAUGAAAUUGUGACAUGUAGAUUACACAAAAUAAGGAUUUUUAUCGCAAAUGGUCCCUAACAUUGAUCUAACUCCUCAUUUUGGUAUCUGAGUUUCAAAAAUUAAUAAAUUUGGUCAUUGACUUUCAAUACCGCAUGUUAAUUUAAUCAUUCCGUUAAAGUUUCGUCAAUAUUCUUUUUCCCACUAAUUCAAUCAUAUGACGUCACGUGAAUUAACUAUAAGAAAUUUUUUUUUAAAGAUUUAAAACUAAAAGUAAAAUAAGAGACUAAAAACCAAUACUAAAAGAAAGAAAAAAGUCAUCGUCAUCUUCAUCAGGUAUGCUAAAAAAGAAAAUAAAGGCACCAUGACACUAUUAAAGUUCUUGGCCUCCUAAACUUACUCUUCAUUAUCUCCAGUUGGUUAUAAUCCUAUCAACUUUAAAUUGAAUUUGGAUUCGAUUUUAUCAAAUUUAGAUUGAAUUUUUUUCAAUUGGGGUUGUGGGAUGUGAGAAAUAUCAACGCAGAAUACUCGUAUGUUGGUUCAAUCUUAAAAAAAAAAAAAAAUUCUUAUAGUUAAUCCACGUGGAGCCAUAUUGAUGAAAUUUUAAUGAAAUGACUAAAUUGAUGUGCGAUAGUGAAAGUCAGGGAUCAAAUUCAUAAAUUUUUGAAACUUAGGGACCAAAAUGAGGGGUUGGACCAAUGUCAGUGACCAUUUGCGAUAAAAACUUUAAUUUUGUGUAAUCCACAUGUCACUAUUUCACUAGAUUUGUGGGUUCCACUUACAAACUAACAUAAUAGUUGACGGAAUUUUAACGGAAUGACCAAAUUGAUGUGGGGUAGUGAAUAUCAUGGACGACAUUAAUUGAUUUUGAAAGUAAGUCUCACUUACAAACUAACAGAAUAGUUGAAGGAAUCUUAACGGAAUGACCAAAUUGAUGUAGGGUAGUGAAUGUCAUGGACGACAUUAAUUGAUUUUGAAAGUAAGCGACCAAAAUGAUGAAUUUGAUCAAUUUUAUGGACCAUUUGUGAUAAAAACUCCAUUGUAUUAUCAAUGGAAACAAAAUUUCAAGUGGCAGUUCCAUACAUAUGCAGGCGAACUUUCAUUCGCUGCGGUCGUAAUAAAAAAAUAUGUACAAAUAAGGGAUCACAGGUCUGUGCUCGGCGAGUUCCACCUCUGCUGGCUUUGUAGUUACUCCCGGAGCACUCCAACCUAAGCGUUGCAUGCACACAGCAUCGUAUGCUUCAAUUUUCAAACCCGAAGCAAGAAAUAGUUCCACCUCGUUUACAAACCGAUUGGUUCUUGCUGCCAGGAAAGGCCCUGCUGCAUCACAGGUUGAUUCUUGAAAUUCUCUUUGUUUUUCUUCAGGUGCCGUCGUUCGACCUUUUUGUUCAUCCCUUGAAAAUGCAUGGUUCAGGUAAAAGUUCAGACAAAGAGUUCAUUGAAAUUUUGCACGUUUUCAAGCACUUCAAUGUUGUUCUUUCUCAUAUCUUGUCCAAAAGAACUCUAAAGACGGGAACUAACUUUGGAACGUUAUUCGAUUUUUCAAUUGAAGAUCUAGGGAGUAACACAUAUCACCUCGUCAGGGAUGAAUUAAUCACGCCAUGUAUGUGGUGCAUGACGAUGUCAACAUCUUCCUCCUACAAGCAGCAACAGAAGCAAGUUAGCUAUAAAGAGUCACCCGAAUAACUAUAACAUGCAUGUUCUGCUUUGGUCGUCAUAGAUAAAGAAAGACCACACGCACAAUUUUAUGAUUAGCUAAUUGGACUAGGUGAUCCAGUUCAUUGCCAAGCCAAAGAAACAAAAAUGAAACUCUGUAAGAUGUUGAAAUGUCCCCGUGUCACCACGAAAGAAAAUUUAUGCAGAAGAAGCCAAGACCUGCAUCAGAGCUUGGAUUUCCCUUCUCCACCAACUUUGGAGCCAGCGGUUUGGCUGAAGAUACUUGCUGGACUUCCGAUACCGUGGUAUGUCAAAUAUGUCACUUAAGAAAACUAAUUAAGAAACAAAGUUAACCAACUGGAAGGCAUGUAAACAGUGACGUCGUUUCUCAGGGAUAUAAAAUGAGAAACAACACAACCAAUAAAAUGACAAGAAGCACAAAACCUGGUUCAGUGUAAUAACACUGCAAUCUAUGCUUGUGCUCCUUUGAUAAGAAAAAGCUGCAGAUACCAUUAACAAAAAACGAUUUACAAAGAGGGUUACAUAUUUUCGAAAACGAUUUACAAAACUUUAUUUUUCAGGCCUAUCCACCCUUGUUUUUCUCCCCUCCAGGAAUUUUAGUGGCAGAGGUUUUGUGACGACGAGGAUUGUUGGUAAAAGCUGUUAUGUAGGAGACUUCUCCUUUCAGUAUAAAUGUCAUUACUCUUCUUUUAUUGUAAUUUAUUUAUGCUCUGACAUCAUUUGUGUGAAAUGGGUUCAAUCCCGCUCAUAUGCGCAGUCUAAAUUAGUUACUUUUAGGUUUUAAUUUAUUCACAAUUUUCACUUCACUACAUUUUAUGGCUUCGUCACCUCUGAGUGUCGGCUAGUACAUCACGAUUUGGGUGUCUGCGUGGACAUUCCGAGUCGGAAUGUGUCAAAAAUGUACCAUAUAAAGGCUACCAAUUUUUUGUAUGUAAAAUAUCAUUAAUAUAAGUAAUGACAAAUCAUGGGUUUUAUUUAAAUAGUUUAUUUUAAUGACAAAUCAUGUCAUUAAGAUAAAUUAUACUUUUUUAUAUAAGUAUAAUUUAUUUUUUUAUAUUUUCAAUCCCACAAAUCAUGAAUUUUAUCUAAAAUCUCAUUAAUACAAGUAACUAAAAAUAUCAAAAUAUCAAAUUUUAAUUUGAAAUUAUAAUAACCUACAUAGAAAUUUAUUAUUGUAUUAAUUUCAGGAACUUCAAUAAAAAACUGAAAACCAACAAGGUUUCAAUUGGAUUAAAAUUGAGGGACCAUUGAUACAAUUUUUCUUAUUUGAUUUUUCAUAUUUGCCCCUUAAUUUGGCCUCAUGUGCAUAGCAUGUGACUUAUUUUGGCAUAAGUUCUAAUGUAGUUGACAAAAAAAAAAAAUCAUAUCUGCACGUUUUGAUGAGUUUAGAGACCAAUGUUAAUGAAUUUUUAGUUGAUGGAUCGUUGCUCCUAUUAAGUUAAAGUUGAGAAAUUAUUGCUACAAUUUCCUCUACAAUUAAAGCUAAUAUAUAAGCUUGAUAGCUUGCUCAUGGACCAUACACAAGGAUAAAACGAGGAAAAUUCCUAUCUAUUUUAAACCUUAUGACUGAUUUGGGAUUGUGGUUCUUUUAUAAAAAACAGCUUAUGAAAAAAUCUGGAACAUCAAAUGUAUUUGGUACCAAAAAAAAAAGUGCUUAUUUAAAAAAUUGUUGUCAAUGACAACAGAAAAGUAAAGAAAAGCAGAAGCAGGGUCUACUAUGUUUCUAAAAAUUUCUAAGCAUGGUGAACAGUGAGAAUUUAAUGAAAUUUUCAAAUGGCAACUGCAUAUUUUACAAAAUAACAAUCGUUGUCCGUGCAAUAUUCUCUUUGGCAAUUAUUAUAUCACAUUAAAUGUCAUAUCAUUUUUAGUAUUUAACAAAUUCACAUCAAUUAUAUAUAUAAAAGUUUACAAAACACUCAGAUACUGUUUUAUUUUUUUACAAGCACUUUUACAAUAAAAGUUUAUCAAACGCUCAACAACUUUAUUUUACAACUGUUUAUUCUCAAAAUACUGCAGAAACAAUUUAAAAAAAAAAAAAAACAAAACAUAACAACACCAAACUAGCAGAACUUACAAGCACAUGUAUUAGGAAAAGAUUAUCAGAAUCUGCAACUCAAAAUCUUGUAGUCAACAUUCACAACUUCCCGGCGUGUUCUUUGAGAGUGCCGUAAAGAGUCUCCACAAGAUUGAGCAGGAAUCCAUCCGAGCCAUGCUUUGCCAGCAAGGAAACUGAAACAGGUAGGUUAUCGCACAUCCCUAGUGGUAUACUCACCUGCAAAUACGUAGAAAUAAGUUACUAACUUUCGCAAGAUACUUGCAGUCAAUGACGAAGAAAAAGAUUGUAACAUGUCGUAUACAAACAUGGAAAGGGGGAGGGAGAGGUAGAGAUAGAUAGAGGGCUUAAAAACCUGGCAGAAUCCGGAAACUACGGCAAUGGAUUGGAAGCUGAAAGCCCGGGCACGAAAAGCGUCCAGUAUACUAGGAUCUGUUUGCAGCUUUGGUGGAUCCCCUGGAACUGUAGGCAUUGCGAGGACACCGAAAUCCUGAUGAGUAAUUCAAAGAGAUUGUGUUACGUAUUCAUCAGAGACAGUAUUUCUUCUGCUAAAAGUUUCGUUUUAAGAGCAAAAGGAAGGAAGAUGCUAACAAAUAACAGUUUGUCAGUCUCUCUACUCUAACAAAACGAACUCGUUUGAUAUGAAGUGACGGAUUCCUAAAAUGAACUUUAGCGUGUGCAAAGAUGUGAGAGAGAGAGAGAGAGAGAGUACCCCGAGAAGUUCAGUAAGAGCAGCACGCAAUUCAGUCAUCACGGAGUGACAAACAUCGACAUUUUCAUCUGUUGACCGAACGGCUGCCCAUAUACGUUCUCCUAUCCCGGGACCUAAGUCAGGUCUGACUGUACUAACCCAUUCACCAUGGUUGCUCUUGAAUUCAUACCUAUUCUAUCAACCAAAUAAUAAAUUUGGAAUUCAUUAUGUACGACAAAUUUAAAUUUUGUUAAUCAAGGUGAAGAUGCAGAAAUUAUCACACUCAUAUUCAAGUCCACCAAAUCAGCACCUUGCGAGAAGAUGAAAGGCGGUUGAUAGGGCUGCCAAAGACGGUAUAAUGUACUCUUCACUUGGAUUUCCUUUAUCCAAGAAAGAGUUCAAGCUUGGAACUUUGUCCUUGACAACAUCCCCGAGGUUAGCAUGUUUUAUAACUUGACCUGCAUUUGCAGAUAUAACGAGUGAGCUUCUUCUUUCCAUGUUGUGAGCUUGUCACUAUCUCAGCAGGAGACCCAAUUUAAUUAAUUGAUUAAUUUUCAGUUAAUAAUCUGUCUAUUGAACAUAAUGGCCAAUUUGUGUCUUAAAACGUGGGGGAAUUAUAAAUUGGACUCGAUUCAUGUCAAUCAAAAUACUUACAGCUAGAGAUGAAACAGAUGAAUACGGUCAAAUCACUUACCCCCAAAUAACUUCUCAACUGACUCAACAAGUACUUGUUUCACUCGACUGCUUGGAACACUUGAAAUCUGGAAACAGUCUUCUGCGAUGAUUAACUGAGUGGGUACGACAGGACCCGUAUCAGGCAAUUGGAGUAACACUCGUCCAACUCUAUUCAAAAUCGCAGGAUUCCUUGCAAACCAUCCUAUAUCAGAAGUUAGUGUCAAAAGGAUGGUUUCCGAUUGCUUAGAGUGCUAGAUAGAUCAUUCACAUAGGUAAAGCUUUCGAAGUACUAUAGUUCCAAUUGCAGAAAAACUUAAACACAGAAGUGUCACGAGUAAUAAUCAACAAAGAUGCAGAAUGCACGGAUGGCAUAUGAAUCAUUGAAGCGGAGGAAGUUAGCUACUUUCUAGAAAUAAAGAGAGAUAUUUCCUGUUACAUAAAAUCAAGGGGAAAAAACCGAAAACAUGACCUUUUUUUUGUCACGACCAGAAAUCUAUUUCCUAAGCCAGUCUGCAAUAUAAAAUGUCAUUGAUUUCUCACCCACUGUAUCGAAACUUUGUGCCAGAGGAGUAACUCCAGAAGUAGAAAUGACACCAUGAGAUGGCCGAAACCCAAAAAUUCCACAAUGCGACGCAGGAAUUCUUACACUUCCUCCAGUGUCAGUUCCUGAAAAAGUGAGGGUCUUGUGCUUCAACAUAAAGAAGCAAGAAAACAACAAAAGCACACUAGGAAUAACUUACCUAAGGAAAAAUCUGCGAGGCCUACAGCUACGGCAACAGCAGAACCGCUAGAAGCCUCCAGGCACCCUAUCUGGAGCGCACGGAUUUCUGGGUGUGCCAUAAUGCUUGUUCUCUCCAUUCAUACUGCCAACAACACAGUGCAAAAUUCAAGGGCGUUUUCUGUCGAGUGAUUUUCGAAUGUCCAAAAUCAUUAUAUAAAUACUUUUACCACGAAAAGAGACUUGUAGCGAUCAAUCAUUUGUCAAAAUUUUUGGGAACAAAACAGUAAUGCAAGUUUAAGCAUGUGAAGUAAGACAAGGCCUCUUUGUACUAACCAGUAUGCCAUUUCAUCCAUGACAGUUAUACCAAUACUUGUGGCACCUCCACUCAAUAUUGCUGAAACAGCCGGAGCUGUUGAUUCAGCAGCCGGGUGAGUCCUCGCCCAAUCAGGAUUCCCAAACCCAGUCACACGUCCAGCCACAUCAAAUCUGCCUCCAAGUUCAAAUUUCAGUGAACACAAAAAUGUUUUGGCUUUUACACACACAUGAAAAAAAUUGCACAAUUCAACACCCUGAAGUUCACCAUCAUGGUUCCACAAGCACACAUAAAACCACACAAAGCAUGAAGAUUUAUUAAAACGCUUCUCUGAAAAAGCACUUCUCAUCAUAAGUGCUUUUGCUGGAAGUAUUUUUACUUUAGUAGAAGUAAAUCCACCACAAAGUUUCAUUAAAAAUUCAAGUGCUUCAGAAAAAAAACAUUUGAACUUUUUUUUCUGUAAGUGUUUUUAGUCAUUCUCAAAUGAAGAAACGCCCAAUCACAGAAACAACACACAAAAUUGGGUUCUUGGAGACAACUGAUUGAACCCAAAUCCGAAAUCAGCAAAUAAGCACAAAAGCAUAUGAAUUUUAAGUAUAACACUACAAAAUUUAAAGCAUCCACCAAAUAGAAGAGUGAUAUAAUUGAGGAAAAUUUAAGAGAGUAGCUCUCACAUGUCUUUAACAGCAAAGGUGAGGCCACUCAGAGGAAGGUCAUGUGAUGAAGACGGCGGUCGGAGAAGGAAUUUCUCCACGAAAGCUCCAUGAUCUGAGUCUAUCGCCAUCUCUCUCUGCCACUGCUGUCUCAGAUAAUCUCAGCUUCAGCAGCUGCUCCACAUUUGACGACAGAAGUGAAUAGCUCUCCACUCAUCAAUCAUACGAUGAUCCUAUUCAAAUGCAAGGACAGAUUAUUCCUUAAAAAAAUCUGUUGUUGAUAGGUGGUCACUUCAGUCAGUGAGGGCAAAGUGGAAAUUCUGG
This 12281-nucleotide long non-coding RNA is filed under the name Malus domestica (apple). RNAcentral's name for it is "long non-coding RNA (MDOM_LNC011644)". Lineage: Eukaryota; Viridiplantae; Streptophyta; Magnoliopsida; Rosales; Rosaceae. The record is from RNAcentral.